This 830-nucleotide long non-coding RNA is filed under the name Callithrix jacchus (white-tufted-ear marmoset). RNAcentral describes it as "lncRNA (ENSCJAG00000072765.1)". The record is from RNAcentral. Lineage: Eukaryota; Metazoa; Chordata; Mammalia; Primates; Cebidae.
UUCACAUAAAUGAUUCAUUUAGAACAACAUAUUCUUCAGGCAACAUAAAGCUCUUAGGCAAAAUCAUGUCAGUACAUAAAGAGCUGCCUCAUUUGUUGUAAUGAAUGCAAAGUAUGUAUUUUAUAUACAAAGGUGUGCCUCCAGUUAUGUAUUUUAUAUAAAUAUAUGCUUCAUUUAUUUGUUUUUUAAACUGAAUAAAGUAUCCAUCUGGGUAUGGCUUUUCAUACGAACCAUGCUGUUUGGAUUUUUUUUUUUACGUUUAAGAAUCUAGUCUGUAUUUCCUUUCAUUAUUAGAUAUUUAAAAAAUGUUUACAUCCUACAUAAAAGCUUUAGACUGUUCUUAGAUCUCUUUCCACCUACCCUGUUCCCAUGAGCAAAUUAGCUAAGUGGGACAUUUUACUCAGGUGCUUCCUAAUUGUGACUUGAAGAAGGAAGCCCUGAAUGACAAGUGUAGCACUUGAUUUUUAGCAGCUUGGCCUCAUGCAAAGCUGUGAGCAUCAUGUUUCCACUGCAGUCGGCGGUGCCCUGCAGAGGAGCCCUCCAAGGCAGGCCGCCUGUCCCCUUCAUGUCAGCUGCCUUGUCAGAUGCUGGCACAGCUUUGCUUAAGACUUGACUUCCAUUCUAUCAGAUUACAACUCACCUGCCACUGUCCCUCUGCCAGCAAGAAAGACACUGGAAAUGUCCUCAGCUAUAGAUUAAGUCCCAAAACCAAGGAUGGAGAUUCAACAACUUUUACUCACUCAGGAGUCUUAAAUGUCUCAGAUUCUCCAUUUUUCAGUAAGGAAUGGUUUCUGAGAAGAUUGCCCGUGACCUGCCACCCAUCAUACUGA